This 562-nucleotide ribosomal RNA is filed under the name uncultured fungus. RNAcentral's name for it is "eukaryotic LSU rRNA". It matches the Rfam family "Eukaryotic large subunit ribosomal RNA", at positions 71 to 647 of the family's 3401-position model. Lineage: Eukaryota; Fungi. The record is from RNAcentral.
GGGAUUGCCUUAGUAACGGCGAGUGAAGCGGCAAUAGCUCAAAUUUGAAAUCUGGCUCUUUCAGAGUCCGAAUUGUAAUUUGUAGAGGAUGUUUCGGACAAGGUUGCGGUUUAAAUUCCUUGGAACAGGAUGUCAUAGAGGGUGAGAAUCCCGUCUUGAAUCGUAUACUGCGUCUAUGUGAAACUCCUUCGACGAGUCGAGUUAUUUGGGAAUGCAGCUCAAAAUGGGAGGUAAAUUUCUUCUAAAGCUAAAUAUUGGCCAGAGACCGAUAGCGCACAAGUAGAGUGAUCGAAAGAUGAAAAGCACUUUGAAAAGAGAGUUAAACAGUAUGUGAAAUUGUUGAAAGGGAAGCGCUUACAACCAGACUUGUGAAUUGCAGUUCUACCUGGGUUUUCCCAGGCUUAUUCUGUUUUUCCAGGCCAGCAUCAGUUUGGGUGGUUAGUUAAAGGCUUAGGGAAUGUAUCUACUCUUCGGGGUCGACUUAUAGCCCUAGGUGUCAUGUAACCUACCUGGACUGAGGAACGCGCAUCUGCUCGGAUGCUGGCGUAAUGGUUGUCAGCGA